This 842-nucleotide ribosomal RNA is filed under the name Microbacterium amylolyticum. Its description in RNAcentral is "bacterial SSU rRNA". It matches the Rfam family "Bacterial small subunit ribosomal RNA", at positions 34 to 883 of the family's 1533-position model. Lineage: Bacteria; Bacillati; Actinomycetota; Actinomycetes; Micrococcales; Microbacteriaceae. The record is from RNAcentral.
CGCUGGCGGCGUGCUUAACACAUGCAAGUCGACGAAUGAAGCUCCAGCUUGCUGGAGUGGAUUAGUGGCGAACGGGUGAGUAACACGUGAGCAACCUGCCCCGAACUCUGGGAUAAGCGCUGGAAACGGCGUCUAAUACCGGAUACGAACCAGAGCGGCAUCGCUUCUGGUGGGAAAGAAUUUCGGUUCGGGAGGGGCUCGCGGCCUAUCAGCUAGUUGGUGAGGUAAUGGCUCACCAAGGCGUCGACGGGUAGCCGGCCUGAGAGGGUGACCGGCCACACUGGGACUGAGACACGGCCCAGACUCCUACGGGAGGCAGCAGUGGGGAAUAUUGCACAAUGGGCGCAAGCCUGAUGCAGCAACGCCGCGUGAGGGACGACGGCCUUCGGGUUGUAAACCUCUUUUAGUAGGGAAGAAGCCUUCGGGUGACGGUACCUGCAGAAAAAGCGCCGGCUAACUACGUGCCAGCAGCCGCGGUAAUACGUAGGGCGCAAGCGUUAUCCGGAAUUAUUGGGCGUAAAGAGCUCGUAGGCGGUUUGUCGCGUCUGCUGUGAAAACUGGAGGCUCAACCUCCAGCCUGCAGUGGGUACGGGCAGACUAGAGUGCGGUAGGGGAGAUUGGAAUUCCUGGUGUAGCGGUGGAAUGCGCAGAUAUCAGGAGGAACACCGAUGGCGAAGGCAGAUCUCUGGGCCGUAACUGACGCUGAGGAGCGAAAGAGUGGGGAGCAAACAGGCUUAGAUACCCUGGUAGUCCACUCCGUAAACGUUGGGAACUAGUUGUGGGGGCCUUUCCACGGUCUCCGUGACGCAGCUAACGCAUUAAGUUCCCCGCCUGGGGAGUAC